RNAcentral lists this ribosomal RNA (819 nucleotides) under Alternaria sp. Its description in RNAcentral is "partial large subunit ribosomal RNA". It matches the Rfam family "Eukaryotic large subunit ribosomal RNA", at positions 69 to 906 of the family's 3401-position model. The record is from RNAcentral. Lineage: Eukaryota; Fungi; Ascomycota; Dothideomycetes; Pleosporales; Pleosporaceae.
CAGGGAUUGCCCUAGUAACGGCGAGUGAAGCGGCAACAGCUCAAAUUUGAAAUCUGGCUCUUUUAGAGUCCGAGUUGUAAUUUGCAGAGGGCGCUUUGGCUUUGGCAGCGGUCCAAGUUCCUUGGAACAGGACGUCACAGAGGGUGAGAAUCCCGUACGUGGUCGCUGGCUAUUGCCGUGUAAAGCCCCUUCGACGAGUCGAGUUGUUUGGGAAUGCAGCUCUAAAUGGGAGGUACAUUUCUUCUAAAGCUAAAUAUUGGCCAGAGACCGAUAGCGCACAAGUAGAGUGAUCGAAAGAUGAAAAGCACUUUGGAAAGAGAGUCAAACAGCACGUGAAAUUGUUGAAAGGGAAGCGCUUGCAGCCAGACUUGCUUACAGUUGCUCAUCCGGGUUUCUACCCGGUGCACUCUUCUGUAGGCAGGCCAGCAUCAGUUUGGGCGGUAGGAUAAAGGUCUCUGUCACGUACCUCCUUUCGGGGAGGCCUUAUAGGGGAGACGACAUACUACCAGCCUGGACUGAGGUCCGCGCAUCUGCUAGGAUGCUGGCGUAAUGGCUGUAAGCGGCCCGUCUUGAAACACGGACCAAGGAGUCUAACAUCUAUGCGAGUGUUUGGGUGUCAAGCCCGAGCGCGUAAUGAAAGUGAACGGAGGUGGGAACCCGCAAGGGUGCACCAUCGACCGAUCCUGAUGUCUUCGGAAGGAUUUGAGUAAGAGCAUGGCUGUUGGGACCCGAAAGAUGGUGAACUAUGCUUGAAUAGGGUGAAGCCAGAGGAAACUCUGGUGGAGGCUCGCAGCGGUUCUGACGUGCAAAUCGAUCGUC